AUCGACGUUAUCUGUAAAACAUAAAAAUCGUGGUGUGAUUGGCAGCACCGUCAUCUGCGGUAUACGGUCAUUGCCCUAAAACAUAAUAUAAAAAUUCACUCGACUAUAAACUUACCGUCCGCAUCACUCCAUUACCAGCCGUACCACCAUUGCGGGCGGCACAGCUGUAGUGAUGCACGUAAGCCGCAGUCGAAACACGACGACGUUUCGUCCGAAAGUCGUCGUCGGUGAAAUAGUGACGUCCCCGGUGCAGACACAACAACAUAAUAUUAUGUCUAUAGACGUCGAUACCAAAGUGACGUUUGGGACUAAAUGACCCGACGCUAACCACCUACAGACGCUAUAACGACCUACCAUACUAUAAACCUGCGUAACCUACCGGUCUAUGCGUACGGCAUUCACCUUCUGCGUUACAAGUAUUUUGAUUGUCGUAAUCUCUACCGUCAUUUUGGAUCCAGUGUUUUGCACGAAUUUACGGUACCACAAACGACUGAAAACCACGUUUUUGAUAUUAGCCGCUGUUGCCGUGACUAUCGUUUUGAAGACUAUCAACAACUACCGAUUCACCUGGCCUAUAAUAAUUUAAAAAAAAAAAAAAUGAAGAAUUUUCAUAAUGAGGUUCCAGAUAAAAGAAAACUUAGAGAAUUCAUUUCAGUCCAAGCACCAAUAACAGUAAUUGAAAUAAGUUCUGAAGAUGAGGAUGAAAAUGAUGAAAAUAAUGAACCCAUUUCAAUCCGCAGUACUGAAUUUGUAGCAGAAAUUGAUGAUGAUUCCUCAACCGAUACAGAUUAUGAUUUCAUAAUCGAUACAGAUGAUGAUUAUGAAAGAGUACAUUGAAGGAUAAAAAAAAAUAUUUAUAAAUUUAUGUUGUAUUUUCAAAAUUUAAGAAUAAAAUAAACAAACACAAUCUAGAAAGUUCAACUUCAAACAAA
Rhopalosiphum padi (bird cherry-oat aphid) is the source of this 932-nucleotide long non-coding RNA. RefSeq lists it as uncharacterized. The transcript has 3 exons. The record is from RefSeq and is a predicted model, not a curated record. Lineage: Eukaryota; Metazoa; Arthropoda; Insecta; Hemiptera; Aphididae.